Molecule: long non-coding RNA, 745 nt
Organism: Daucus carota subsp. sativus
Lineage: Eukaryota; Viridiplantae; Streptophyta; Magnoliopsida; Apiales; Apiaceae
Exons: 2
Source: RefSeq, a predicted model, not a curated record
UGAAGGUGCGUCGCACACUCGCACUUGAGUAGUGGGAAAGUGAGUGGAAAAUGCAUUAACUAAAAGGUUUUAGUAUAACUUAUGAGCCGCUCACUUGGACAACCACAAAGAUAAAACUACCAAGAUUGUCAAACAAGUGCCAGAGGAUUUUGCUAUGAAUGGGAAAGCAAAAUCUAAUGAGUCUAGCAGACACAAGACUCUGAAAGGAGCUGAACGAUUCAGUGGCAAGAGGCCGGUCGCUCAAUGGAGCAAGAACUGGAUAAUUGGCAGGUGGAUCGCGUUGGUCUCUCUAGUCUUUUUUCUACUGGUAGUCGACAUACAAUCCUUCCAUCUUCUCCGUAAAUACAAUCCAGAAGACACGGUUUAUGGUUUGUUUAUAAUGGGGCUUGGGAAUUUGGUCGGUUUUAGUUUCCUAGGUACGCAGGCUCAAGAACUAGUUCAAGAUGCAAAGAACACAUAUGAUGUGCCUUCCUGGUGUUACGGGUUGGCGAGCUCCAGAGCUCAUUGAAGAUCCAAGACCAGACUGGAGUAAGAUCGGACUUCGUGAUGUACGACAUUUUACUGAUCAGCCAGUCAUGAAAUUCGUCAGAAAAGCUUAAUCCGAGCAAGUGGCUAGUUUGAAGGAAAAUCAUUUGUUUGCAAAUGUUUGAAUGUAACAUCUUUCAAACAAUUUUGUUACUAUUCCCCCUUAUAUUGUAUAUGUUAUAUAAUUGAUCUCUAUGUAUUGUAAUCUCCAUUUUUCCUA